RNAcentral lists this ribosomal RNA (517 nucleotides) under uncultured Glomus. RNAcentral describes it as "SSU rRNA". It matches the Rfam family "Eukaryotic small subunit ribosomal RNA", at positions 548 to 1069 of the family's 1831-position model. The record is from RNAcentral. Lineage: Eukaryota; Fungi; Glomeromycota; Glomeromycetes; Glomerales; Glomeraceae.
UUGGAGGGCAAGUCUGGUGCCAGCAGCCGCGGUAAUUCCAGCUCCAAUAGCGUAUAUUAAAGUUGUUGCAGUUAAAAAGCUCGUAGUUGAAUUUCGGGGUUAGUAGGUCGGUCAUGCCUCAGGUAUGCACUGGUCUCACUGAUUCCUCCUUCCUGAUGAGCCGUAAUGCCAUUAAUUUGGUGUUGCGGGGAAUCUGGACUGUUACUUUGAAAAAAUUAGAGUGUUUAAAGCAGGCUAACGCUUGAAUACAUUAGCAUGGAAUAAUGGAAUAGGACGUUCGAUCCUAUUUUGUUGGUUUCUAGGAUUGACGUAAUGAUUAAUAGGGAUAGUUGGGGGCAUUAGUAUUCAAUUGUCAGAGGUGAAAUUCUUGGAUUUAUUGAAGACUAACUACUGCGAAAGCAUUUGCCAAGGAUGUUUUCAUUAAUCAAGAACGAAAGUUAGGGGAUCGAAGACGAUCAGAUACCGUCGUAGUCUUAACCAUAAACUAUGCCGACUAGGGAUCGGAUGAGUGAAUUAA